RNAcentral lists this ribosomal RNA (253 nucleotides) under Roseburia faecis M72/1. RNAcentral describes it as "partial 16S ribosomal RNA". It matches the Rfam family "Bacterial small subunit ribosomal RNA", at positions 524 to 776 of the family's 1533-position model. Lineage: Bacteria; Bacillati; Bacillota; Clostridia; Lachnospirales; Lachnospiraceae. The record is from RNAcentral.
UACGUAUGGCGCAAGCGUUAUCCGGAUUUACUGGGUGUAAAGGGAGCGCAGGCGGUGCGGCAAGUCUGAUGUGAAAGCCCGGGGCUCAACCCCGGUACUGCAUUGGAAACUGUCGUACUAGAGUGUCGGAGGGGUAAGCGGAAUUCCUAGUGUAGCGGUGAAAUGCGUAGAUAUUAGGAGGAACACCAGUGGCGAAGGCGGCUUACUGGACGAUAACUGACGCUGAGGCUCGAAAGCGUGGGGAGCAAACAGG